RNAcentral lists this ribosomal RNA (279 nucleotides) under uncultured bacterium. Its description in RNAcentral is "partial 16S ribosomal RNA". It matches the Rfam family "Bacterial small subunit ribosomal RNA", at positions 506 to 784 of the family's 1533-position model. The record is from RNAcentral.
UGCCAGCCGCCGCGGUAAUACGAGAGGUCCGAGCGUUAAUCAGAAUCACUGGGCUUAAAGCGUACGCAGGCGGACUGGUAGGUAUCUUGUGAAAUCCCACGGCUUAACCGUGGAACUGCAGGGUAAACCCCCAGUCUUGAGGCAGGUAGGGGUCAGUGGAACCAUGAGUGGAGCGGUGAAAUGCGUAGAUAUUCAUGGGAACGCCAAUGGCGAAGGCAGCUGACUGGGGAGUGACUGACGCUGAGGAACGAAAGUUAGGGUAUCGAACGGGAUUAGAUA